AGUGAACGCUGGCGGUAGGCCUAACACAUGCAAGUCGAACGGCAGCACAGUAAGAGCUUGCUCUUACGGGUGGCGAGUGGCGGACGGGUGAGGAAUACAUCGGAAUCUACUUUUUCGUGGGGGAUAACGUAGGGAAACUUACGCUAAUACCGCAUACGACCUACGGGUGAAAGCAGGGGAUCUUCGGACCUUGCGCGAUUGAAUGAGCCGAUGUCGGAUUAGCUAGUUGGCGGGGUAAAGGCCCACCAAGGCGACGAUCCGUAGCUGGUCUGAGAGGAUGAUCGGCCACACUGGACCUGAGACACGGUCCAGACUCCUACGGGAGGCAGCAGUGGGAAAUAUUGGACAAUGGGCGCAAGCCUGAUCCAGCCAUGCCGCGUGGGUGAAGAAGGCCUUCGGGUUGUAAAGCCCUUUUGUUGGGAAAGAAAAGCAGCAGGUUAAUACCCCGCUGUUCUGACGGUACCCAAAGAAUAAGCACCGGCUAACUUCGU
Molecule: ribosomal RNA, 491 nt
Filed under: uncultured bacterium
Lineage: Bacteria
Description: partial 16S ribosomal RNA
Rfam family: Bacterial small subunit ribosomal RNA
Source: RNAcentral